CUGUUGGUCACUGUUACCAUUACACACUUUUCAUAAUUUUGUCUACAGUUUUUCUCAGAGAAAUUGAGCAGACAGAACACUGACCUGUCCAUGUGCUAUAAUUAUGUGUCUUUGGAUGGAUUCUUUGUAUGAUGAAAAAUCUACUCUUUGAGAAAUACCAAGGUGAACCAAGAAAGACGGUGUAAAGAGAAAAGGACUGAAGCCCAUUGCCAUUACAAAUAAUCAAAAAAAAAGGAAUAUUGGCAGGAUUCAACCUCUACUGCCAUGUCACCAACCGCCUCUGACGUGUGGGCCAACAUCAUAAAAUAGGAGGUAUUACUUUUGGAGCAGCCCUUGUCUGUGACCACAGGCAGCUACUAGUUGUGAAGUGAUCCACCUCAGCUUUUUGUUGAAGGAAUAGAGAAUCACAGAAUGACUGAGGUUGGCAGAGGCUGCUGGUUCUAUCCUCCUGGUGAAGCAGGAACAUCAAAAACAGGGUAUGCCAAAAGACAUUGAGUCCCAGGAACAGGUCCAGAAAGGGCAACGAAACUGGUGAGAGGUCUGGAGCACAAGUCUUAUGAAGAGCAGCUGAGGGAGCUGGGAUUGUUUAGUCUGGAGAAGAGGAGGCUCAGGGAAGACCACAUUGCACUCUACAACUUCUUGAGGGGAUGUUGUGAUGAGGAGGGGUUUGGCCUCUUCUCCCAGGCAACAAACAGAGCCCAAGGAAAUGGCCACAAGUUGUACCAGAGGAGAUUUCAAUUAGACAUAAGGUAAAACUUUUUCUCUCAGAGAGUGGUCAGGCACUGGAAUAGCCUGCUCAGGGAUGUGGUGGAGUCACCGUCCCUGGCAGUGCUCAAGAGGUGUCUGGAUGAGGAGCUACGAGAUACGGGUUAGUGGCUUGUGGUAGCAAGGGUAAAGGGAGG
Gallus gallus (chicken) is the source of this 902-nucleotide long non-coding RNA. Lineage: Eukaryota; Metazoa; Chordata; Aves; Galliformes; Phasianidae. The record is from Ensembl.